UACAGAGGUGGCAAGCGUUGUUCGGAAUUACUGGGCGUAAAGGGCGCGUAGGCGGCCAUCUAAGUCAGACGUGAAAUCCCCCGGCUUAACCUGGGAACUGCGUCUGAUACUGGAAGGCUUGAGUAUGGGAGAGGGAUGUAGAAUUCCAGGUGUAGCGGUGAAAUGCGUAGAUAUCUGGAGGAACACCGGUGGCGAAGGCGGCGUUCUGGACUGCAACUGACACUGAGGAACGAAAGCCAGGGGAGCAAACGGG
This 253-nucleotide ribosomal RNA is filed under the name uncultured bacterium. Its description in RNAcentral is "partial 16S ribosomal RNA". It matches the Rfam family "Bacterial small subunit ribosomal RNA", at positions 524 to 776 of the family's 1533-position model. The record is from RNAcentral.